GCAGUCCUACGGGGCGCAGCAGUGGGGGAUAUUGGACAAUGGGGGAAACCCUGAUCCAGCGACGCCGCGUGAGUGAAGAAGUAUUUCGGUAUGUAAAGCUCUGUCAGCAGGGAAGAAAGCAAUGACGGUACCUGACCAAGAAGCCCCGGCUAACUACGUGCCAGCAGCCGCGGUAAUACGUAGGGGGCAAGCGUUAUCCGGAUUUAUUGGGUUUAAAGGGUGCGUAGGCGGGCAUUUAAGCCGGCGGUCAA
This 251-nucleotide ribosomal RNA is filed under the name uncultured bacterium. RNAcentral describes it as "partial 16S ribosomal RNA". It matches the Rfam family "Bacterial small subunit ribosomal RNA", at positions 333 to 598 of the family's 1533-position model. The record is from RNAcentral.